GAUCCUGGCUCAGAUUGAACGCUGGUGGCAGGCUUAACACAUGCAGGUCGAACGGUAACAUAAAGAAGCUUGCUUCUUUGAUGACGAGUGGCGGACGGGUGAGUAAUGCUUGGGAAUCUAGCUUAUGGAGGGGGAUAACUACGGGAAACUGUAGCUAAUACCGCGUAAUAUCGAAAGAUUAAAGUGUGGGACCUUCGGGCCACAUGCCAUAGGAUGAGCCCAAGUGGGAUUAGGUAGUUGGUGAGGUAAAGG
This 252-nucleotide ribosomal RNA is filed under the name uncultured bacterium. Its description in RNAcentral is "partial 16S ribosomal RNA". It matches the Rfam family "Bacterial small subunit ribosomal RNA", at positions 15 to 263 of the family's 1533-position model. The record is from RNAcentral.